GCUGAUAUGGCUCAGGUGGUAGAGCGCACCCUCGGUAAGGGUGAGGUCCCCAGUUCGACUCUGGGUAUCAGCACCA
RNAcentral lists this transfer RNA (76 nucleotides) under Salmonella enterica subsp. enterica serovar Typhimurium. RNAcentral describes it as "tRNA-Thr". The record is from RNAcentral. Lineage: Bacteria; Pseudomonadati; Pseudomonadota; Gammaproteobacteria; Enterobacterales; Enterobacteriaceae.